Molecule: ribosomal RNA, 253 nt
Filed under: uncultured bacterium
Lineage: Bacteria
Description: partial 16S ribosomal RNA
Rfam family: Bacterial small subunit ribosomal RNA
Source: RNAcentral
UACGUAGGGGGCUAGCGUUGUCCGGAAUCAUUGGGCGUAAAGAGCGUGUAGGCGGCCCGGUAAGUCCGCUGUGAAAGUCAAAGGCUCAACCUUUGAAUGUCAGUGGAUACUGCCGGGCUAGAGUCCGGAAGAGGCGAGUGGAACUCCUGGUGUAGCGGUGAAAUGCGUAGAUAUCGAGAGGAACACCUGCGGCGAAGGCGGGUAGCUGGGCCGACACUGACGCUGAGGCGCGAAAGCCAGGGGAGCGAACGGG